GAUGAACGCUGGCGGCGUGCCUAAUACAUGCAAGUCGAGCGAACAGACGAGGAGCUUGCUCCUCUGACGUUAGCGGCGGACGGGUGAGUAACACGUGGAUAACCUACCUAUAAGACUGGGAUAAUUUCGGGAAACCGGAGCUAAUACCGGAUAAUAUAUUGAACCGCAUGGUUCAAUAGUGAAAGACGGUUUUGCUGUCACUUAUAGAUGGAUCCGCGCCGCAUUAGCUAGUUGGUAAGGUAACGGCUUACCAAGGCGACGAUGCGUAGCCGACCUGAGAGGGUGAUCGGCCACACUGGAACUGAGACACGGUCCAGACUCCUACGGGAGGCAGCAGUAGGGAAUCUUCCGCAAUGGGCGAAAGCCUGACGGAGCAACGCCGCGUGAGUGAUGAAGGUCUUCGGAUCGUAAAACUCUGUAAUUAGGGAAGAACAAAUGUGUAAGUAACUAUGCACGUCUUGACGGUACCUAAUCAGAAAGCCACGGCUAACUACGUG
This 497-nucleotide ribosomal RNA is filed under the name uncultured bacterium. RNAcentral describes it as "partial 16S ribosomal RNA". It matches the Rfam family "Bacterial small subunit ribosomal RNA", at positions 28 to 507 of the family's 1533-position model. The record is from RNAcentral.